This 485-nucleotide long non-coding RNA is filed under the name Elaeis guineensis (African oil palm). RNAcentral's name for it is "long non-coding RNA (EGUI_LNC081308)". Lineage: Eukaryota; Viridiplantae; Streptophyta; Magnoliopsida; Arecales; Arecaceae. The record is from RNAcentral.
AGACACCUCUUUUACUGUACGGCUGUUUCACGAUCUUUGGGCAGUGAGAGGGACAUAGAGAGCCAAUGGUUUUGUUUGAAGAAGAAGAGGCGAAGGGGGAGGAGGAAAAGAAAGGAGCGGAGAAGAUGAUCUGGCCAACUCACUAUUCCUCGAUGCAACAGAUGUUGCUGGGUUUGGACACAAUUAGCUUUUUCUAUUUUUUUCCCUAGAUAACUUCAAGUUAGAUGGCAACAAAAGAAAAAAGUUAUUUAAUACUUCUGUAUGCUUUUUAGUUGCACAGUGAUUCAUCUUUUCUGAAUUUGUUUGCUAAUUAGGAGUAUGAAAGCCAGGAUAGUGAUUUUUGUAGUUGAAAUUUGUAGUAAUAACUUUUGUUUGAGGGGAAUAGGAGGUAACAUGAUGUUAUUCCCUGAUUAUUUUUGAUACUACUCAGGAAAAAAACAAAUUACAGACAAUGGGCCGCUACAGCACAAUGAAUAGAAUCAAGA